GAGGUAUAGUUCACGGAGUGUUCUCAGUAGGGCGCAGGUCCCUUAUAAAUAAUCAAAACGUUUAAGCGAAGAUCACUAGGGCUCUUCAAUUUAUUUUUUGUUGGUGUUCUUGUUGACAACAUUAGAGCUCUUGUCUGUUAUUGACAUCAAUGUAAAGAAGAAUCGAAUCGAGAUUGAAGGCUCUGUGAAAAAAAUAAAAUAUUUUUGCGUCUGAUUUAUCAACCACUUCUCCAAGCGGGAAUUGCGAUCUCUCGACAUUCUGGCGGUGCUGAAAGUUGAAAGUGGCUCUUUGGAGGGAGUUGUGGACAUCUACAAGUGAGUUGUGAAGGCAGUGACCCAUUCCAUGGCCAUGCUGUUGAUGUUUUCACAGUGAACAAAAAUCUUCUGUUUUGUGCCUACAGCGACAUUGCAUGUGUUGAAACUCGGUGUUUGAUCAUAGGCAGGGUGGUGGAGCGUGCAAAUCGAGGUGAAGUUCAACUCAUAGCAGGUUGACCAAGAGCAAAGUCUUGAAGCUUGAGUGAGGUUCUUGUAGGUGGAUACGUUCACAUUACAAAUAGGUUAGGUUGACAAAAAAUUAGGUUAGAGGAAUUUAGGUCUAAACGGAUGACUUUGUAUUAGAUGCAAACUAAUGAAUUGGAUGAAUAUUUUAAUCAAGGAUGAAGUUUGGCAUAGAUGAAUUUUAAGCUUAGAUGAGAAGUUAUUUGUGGAUGAGAAGUUAUUUACGGAUGAUAAUUUAUAAUUGGAU
Molecule: long non-coding RNA, 745 nt
Filed under: Physcomitrium patens
Lineage: Eukaryota; Viridiplantae; Streptophyta; Bryopsida; Funariales; Funariaceae
Description: long non-coding RNA (PPAT_LNC003290)
Source: RNAcentral